UACGUAGGGUCCGAGCGUUGUCCGGAAUUAUUGGGCGUAAAGGGCUCGUAGGCGGUUCGUCACGUCGGGAGUGAAAACUCGGGGCUUAACCCCGAGCCUGCUUCCGAUACGGGCAGACUAGAGGUAGGCAGGGGAGAGCGGAACUCCUGGUGUAGCGGUGGAAUGCGCAGAUAUCAGGAGGAACACCGGUGGCGAAGGCGGCAUCCUGGACCGACACUGACGCUGAGGAGCGAAAGCCAGGGGAGCAAACGGG
Molecule: ribosomal RNA, 253 nt
Filed under: uncultured bacterium
Lineage: Bacteria
Description: partial 16S ribosomal RNA
Rfam family: Bacterial small subunit ribosomal RNA
Source: RNAcentral